Molecule: ribosomal RNA, 520 nt
Filed under: uncultured Glomus
Lineage: Eukaryota; Fungi; Glomeromycota; Glomeromycetes; Glomerales; Glomeraceae
Description: SSU rRNA
Rfam family: Eukaryotic small subunit ribosomal RNA
Source: RNAcentral
AGCAGCCGCGGUAAUUCCAGCUCCAAUAGCGUAUAUUAAAGUUGUUGCAGUUAAAAAGCUCGUAGUUGAAUUUCGGGAUCAAUAUGUCGGUCGUGCCUUCGGUACGUACUGGUAUCAUUGGUCUCUCCUUUCUGACGAACCAUGAUGUCAUUAAUUUGGUGUUAUGGGGAGUUAGGACUGUUACUUUGAAAAAUUAGAGUGUUUAAAGCAGGCUUUAGCUUGAAUACAUUAGCAUGGAAUAAUGAAAUAGGACGUUCGAACCUAUUUUGUUGGUUUCUAGGAUCAACGUAAUGAUUAAUAGGGAUAGUUGGGGGCAUUAGUAUUCAAUUGUCAGAGGUGAAAUUCUUGGAUUUAUUGAAGACUAACUACUGCGAAAGCAUUUGCCAAGGAUGUUUUCAUUAAUCAAGAACGAAAGUUAGGGGAUCGAAGACGAUCAGAUACCGUCGUAGUCUUAACCGUAAACUAUGCCGACUAGGGAUCGGAUGAUGUUAAUUUUUUAAUGACUCAUUCGGCGCCUUAC